RNAcentral lists this long non-coding RNA (247 nucleotides) under Vigna radiata. Its description in RNAcentral is "long non-coding RNA (VRAD_LNC014254)". The record is from RNAcentral. Lineage: Eukaryota; Viridiplantae; Streptophyta; Magnoliopsida; Fabales; Fabaceae.
GAGAAGGGAAAAGAAAACUCCCCUGAUCAUGGUGGCAGUCGCCAAUUUUGGACUUUCAGGGAGAUCUCUUCCACCACGGGAUCCAACAAAGAAGUCUUGAGGAGGAAUUGCUUCAGUCUUCAGAUUUGAUCAAGCAAGAAGAUGUCCUCCACAGAUGGAUCUAAGAAGCAGUGAUUGUUGAUGAGUGGGUUCAGUUGGUGCCCAUUGAUAUUCAAGCUUUUGUGUAUACUGACACCCUUGUCUUCCA